AUACGGAGGGGGCUAGCGUUGUUCGGAAUUACUGGGCGUAACGCGUGCGCAGGUGGUUUUGUAAGUCAGAUGUGAAAUCCCCGGGCUUAACCUGGGAACUGCGUUUGAAACUGCAAGGCUAGAGUGUGGCGGAGGGGGGUGGAAUUCCGCGUGUAGCAGUGAAAUGCGUAGAUAUGUGGAGGAACACCGAUGGCGAAGGCAGCCCCCUGGAUCAACACUGACGCUCAGGCACGAAAGCAUGGGGAGCAAACAGGAUUAGAAACCCCGGUAGUCC
This 274-nucleotide ribosomal RNA is filed under the name uncultured bacterium. RNAcentral describes it as "partial 16S ribosomal RNA". It matches the Rfam family "Bacterial small subunit ribosomal RNA", at positions 523 to 796 of the family's 1533-position model. The record is from RNAcentral.